GGCGGGACGCUGAGAGUCGAGGCGCAGCUCCCGGCCGCAGAUGUUCAGGUCGGCCUGGGCAGCGGAGCGCAGCAGCGGAAGCUCCACCGUCACCACCAGCUCCCGUGGCACCGGGCUGGGCGCCGAGUCGCGGCUAUACCGGUAGUCUUGCAGUUAAAGGUUCCAUGAAGGCCCUUGGGAGGGUUGGGGCUGUUACACACUUCCAUUUGACAAAAACACAGUUUCUGCAGCUAAGCAAGAAACAAUCAGACAAGGUAAGUUUGAAUUUUUCCCACUGGGUUAUAACAUCGGUAUUUCACACAGGCAAAUUUUCAUCACAGUUUUAAGCCCUCCAGUAUUUUUUAAUAAUUUCUGGCGCUGCAGCUGACCUUUUUUUCCAGUCAUUGGAAAACCACAGUUGGAACAAGUAAGUACAGGUUUAAAAUAUAUGAAAGCAAAGCAUGAAAGUGGCUUCUGGGCUUGAUGAUGGUCACAAAAUGAACCAAGAAUUGUUCCUACAAGCCUUAUCUCCAGAAAUGUCUGUGUUUCCCAAUGGGGACUCAAUUACUGAAAGUCAUAUAGUACAGUCUAUCCUUCCUUUUACUUUUGGGUCAUGCUUUUCAUCAUUGUUAUUUGACUGCACUUCCUAAAUUUAUUAUUUAGUUCUAGGUAUUUAGAUUUCUUACACCAAGUGUGAAGCACAAGUCUACGUUAAACUGCUAGAACAUUCACUCUCUUUAUACAGUUGAUGUUCUGUGUUCCUCCUGAUAACUAAAAUGUCAGCAAAUAAGAUACUUCCUUUUAAAUGAGAAAGUGAACAUAUUUACCUGUCUUCAACUGUCUUGUUGGAGGGGUAGAAUACCUUGAAUGAAAAUCCACUUCUUGGAAAUGAACCCUGAAAGAAAAAUGUAUAUACAAAACUUGCAUUAAGUAAUCUACUAUACAAAGAGUAAGAGAUACACUUGAAUGUGACUGCACCCCCUUCUUAUGUUGGUAAAGCAUAAGGAAAACUUACAGGAUUUAUGCAAACACAGUCAGUGUUGGUGACAGUGAAGGGGUCGUAUUUAUCUGCUAUCACAAGCAUGUCUGGCACAGGGUAUACCCUCAGGGCAUAGUCAUAGGCCCAAUACACUGGGCUAACGUACAAUGGAAGUGGCGUCAGAUGUCCCUGUGAUAAUAUGGUCUUUACAAACUGUAAGAUAAACAUAAAUAAGUUAGUUUGAACCAUUUUCUACAAGUCAAAUUAAUUCCUGCACAUGCUGAUGUGCAGGAAUAUAUUAGGGAUAUAUACAUAUGCAGGGGAUUCUUAAUAAAGAAAAUUUGAACUUGGAAA
Melopsittacus undulatus (budgerigar) is the source of this 1312-nucleotide long non-coding RNA. RefSeq lists it as uncharacterized. The transcript has 2 exons. The record is from RefSeq and is a predicted model, not a curated record. Lineage: Eukaryota; Metazoa; Chordata; Aves; Psittaciformes; Psittaculidae.